CCGAGUUUACAACUCCCAAACCCUUGUGAACCUACCUACUUGUUGCUUCGGCGAGAUCAGCCCCGGCGCCCGUAAAACGGGGAACAGGCACCCGCCGGAGGAUCCCUAAACUCUUGUUUUAUAUAGUAUCUUCUGAGUGAGAAAGCAAACAAAUGAAUCA
This 160-nucleotide unclassified non-coding RNA is filed under the name soil metagenome. Its description in RNAcentral is "partial internal transcribed spacer 1". The record is from RNAcentral.